GUGGCAUCUUUGUACCCCUAAUUCUACUUCGGACACUUGUCUAUUUUUACCUCUCAUCUCACUCUUUUUCUUUCUUUUCCGAGGUUCCGGGCACUUGCCCCUUUUUAUUUCCUCGUAUGUUUUUGCACAACCCAUGCCUCUUCUACAUUGAAUCUUUUUAGAGAGAGAAUAACAAUACUUGGGACAGUGAGUGAUAAUAUAUUUUUUUUAGCAAUUUUAAUGAUUAAUGCUGUGGUAGAUGCGUGCA
Molecule: long non-coding RNA, 247 nt
Filed under: Sorghum bicolor (sorghum)
Lineage: Eukaryota; Viridiplantae; Streptophyta; Magnoliopsida; Poales; Poaceae
Description: long non-coding RNA (SBIC_LNC012236)
Source: RNAcentral